GCUGGGUGCAGUGGCUCAGCCUGUAAUCCCAGUGGCUUGGGAGGCUGAGGCAGGGGGAUUGUUGAGUUCAAAGCCAGCCUCAGAAACUCAUGGAGGCCCUAAGCAAGAUCCUGUCUCAA
This 119-nucleotide small RNA is filed under the name Marmota monax (woodchuck). Lineage: Eukaryota; Metazoa; Chordata; Mammalia; Rodentia; Sciuridae. The record is from RNAcentral.